UUUUGGGAAAACGAGUUGAUUUCUUUAAGACCUUAGAAGCUCCUGCAGCUUUUGAGGGUCACUUCGUCCCUGUCACCUUUCCUGCGUUAGGCGAAGUCGAUUUCCCCCUACCUACUUGAGGUCUAAUAGGAUGCUUUUCCCGAAGUCAAGGGGGAAGAGUUAAUCGGCUGUCUGGAGCAGAACUAGCGAAAAUUAGUUUUAUUUGCUUAAAUAGAUAAUGUUGUUCAUUCAUUUUAGUCGUGUCCGAUCCCAUCUGGGGUUUUCUCGCAAAGAUACUAGAAUGGUUUGCCAUUUCUUUCUCCAGGUUAUUUUAGAGAUGAGUAAACUAAGGCCAACAGGAUGAAGUGACUUGCCCAGAGUCACAUGGUAGCGUCUGAGGUCGGACCGAAGAAUCUUCCUGACUCCAGGCCUACCCAUUGUGCCACUUAGAUGACCCCACAGAUAAUCCAAAUGAUAAAAACCACAUAAAUAUAGGAGAGGAGAUGGAAAAGGCAAGAGUUUCCAAACCGGGGGGUGGAGGAUGAGGAAUCACAAUCUUUUGCAGUUCUUGGAUGAGGAUGAAUAAAUGAGGAUAAUUAAAAUUUACAAACAAAGCUUGCUUUGUGAAAGUUUCUUUUAAGAACAUUCAAUCAACACAUUGGAUGCUUCCCAUUUGCCAGGUGCUGUGCUGAACACGAAUACAAAGAAAAAGCAAAAAUAGUCUAUCUCAAAAGCAUCUUUUUUCAGAGAUGAACAUAUCACCUGCUCUAAAACUUGAGGGUGUGGAGCUAAUGGAUCUGCUUUAUUUAGCCUGAAGUGUUCGGUAAAAAGGUGAUAAUAUUCUUUCUCAGCUGAGAAAGAGCAACAGUAGCUGUACCUAUGAUGAGGAAAUGUUACAGAGAUUGGCCUUGCAGCUGAGAUGCAUUGGAGAUGGACUCAAUAAUAGAGUGAUUCAAGAGGGUCUUCAAUUAGAAGAAGUUAGAGAUGCAGUGGCUCAUUUUGUCUUAUUUUUGCUUAGAAAAGCUCAUUUGGUUUUGAACUAUUUUUUGGCCAACCAUCCAAUGUAGAACAAAAUUUAAAUUUCAAGUUGUUCGUUUUCUUUCCACUUUCUGAGAUAUAUACAUUACCCUUGUUGAACCCCAAAAAUCUGGGGGAAAAGACCAUGCCUUAUUGACUUUCCUAGCUGCCUGGUUGGUUUGUACCGAUAGGUACAAAGAAGAGGGGCAGUAUGGUUGAAUGGUAUGAAUGCUGGAAAUGGAGUGAAAUCUCAGCUCAAAUUCUGUCUAUGAGACUGACCAUGAAACCCUGGGCAAGUCACUUAACUUCAUUGAAACUGUUUCUUUAUCAAUAAAAUUAGACUAAUUAUAAUGUUUGUACUACUUAUAUCCCAGAAUUGUUAUGAGGAAAAUUUUUUUCUUAGUGUUCUGCACAUAGCAGGAAUUUAAUAAAUGUUUAUAGAAUGGUAUAAAAUGGAAUGUAAUAAAUGUUUCUUGAAUGUGCGAUAAGGGUGGGAAGACAACCUUUGUUUUCUUUGUUAUCUGACUUUCUUAUCAUAGGUGGGUUUAUGCUAACUGAACAGAGAAUGUAUGGAAUCAGGAGGCAGAUGUGUAUAUAGUAGCCACCUUUGAUACUUCUGGGGGGGCCUCAUAGGAAUAUUAUUUACAGAAUAUGCGAUGGAACUAAACAUAAACUCACUGAAAAAAAAGCAAUAACAACUUAUUGAAGGCUU
This is a non-coding RNA of Monodelphis domestica (gray short-tailed opossum), 1708 nucleotides long. The record is from RefSeq and is a predicted model, not a curated record. NCBI's taxonomy places the organism in Eukaryota, Metazoa, Chordata, Mammalia, Didelphimorphia, Didelphidae.